Molecule: ribosomal RNA, 253 nt
Filed under: uncultured bacterium
Lineage: Bacteria
Description: partial 16S ribosomal RNA
Rfam family: Bacterial small subunit ribosomal RNA
Source: RNAcentral
UACGUAGGGUGCGAACGUUAUCCGGAAUUACUGGGCUUAAAGCGUUCGUAGGCAGUUUGUCGCGUCGUUUGUGAAAACCAGCAGCUCAACCGCUGGCUUGCAGGCGAUACGGGCAGACUUGAGUACUGCAGGGGAGACUGGAAUUCCUGGUGUAGCGGUGAAAUGCGCAGAUAUCAGGAGGAACACCGAUGGCGAAGGCGGGUCUCUGGGCAGUAACUGACGCUGAGGAACGAAAGCGUGGGUAGCGAACAGG